Molecule: long non-coding RNA, 550 nt
Organism: Cyprinodon tularosa
Lineage: Eukaryota; Metazoa; Chordata; Actinopteri; Cyprinodontiformes; Cyprinodontidae
Exons: 3
Source: RefSeq, a predicted model, not a curated record
GGAUCAGGUGGAUCCUGGCUGCGUCUCAAUUCGCAGGCUGCGUACUUCCGAGGACGCAGCCUACCUAGCCUCCGGAGGACCCAGACUUGGUAGGCUGCUCCGGAGGAUCCUCAGCCGUUGGUAAAUGGGACGGUCUAGCCUUUGGAGCACUUCCUGGUUGCGACACGAUGUCAUCACGUUUACCCCAAACACAGCGCGAAACAAAAUCCGACAGCUCGAGAAAUACGGAAAGAAACAACAAAAAAAUAGAUAUGGACAUUUUUAUUUUUUUUAUUUACUUGUUAUUGGAGGAGGAGAGUCGGCUUUGACGGCUUCGGCGGCAGCAAAACCUGCGACGGAUUUUUCUCAGGCUGGCAGAGCGCAGUGGAGAGGUAAGAUCUACCUGCUAUUAUUCUAACCCACAGGGCCCUGCUAACGAUCAGAAUAUACCAGCUAUUAAAUAAACGCUUGUCAGCAGAUUGAUGAAUAGGUUUAGAUAUCAAAUUUUAUAUUUAUUUGUAAGUUUGUGAUUUAUUAGUUUGUAACUUUAGUAAUUUGAAUUGAAUAGUUA